AUUGAAUUCGACUACAGUUCAGAAUAAAAAAAGUGAAUAUGCAAAAGCCAGGUAAUAUGUUAAUGAUAAAGUGUGUAUAAAUUUUCGUAAACGAAGUUACCCGUAUACUUCCCCAAGAAUUACAUUUGAGCGCAAAGUUCUGUAAUUGUGUGAUAUGGUUUUGGGUUUAUGUAACAUAAUUUAGACUGGGAUCCUGGCUAAUCUUGACCUUACGACGCGCAGCUAGAUUG
RNAcentral lists this long non-coding RNA (230 nucleotides) under Mytilus galloprovincialis (Mediterranean mussel). Lineage: Eukaryota; Metazoa; Mollusca; Bivalvia; Mytilida; Mytilidae. The record is from RNAcentral.